AGUGAACGCUGGCGGUAGGCCUAACACAUGCAAGUCGAACGGCAGCACAGUAAUAGCUUGCUCUUACGGGUGGCGAGUGGCGGACGGGUGAGGAAUACAUCGGAAUCUACUUUUUCGUGGGGGAUAACGUAGGGAAACUUACGCUAAUACCGCAUACGACCUACGGGUGAAAGCAGGGGAUCUUCUGACCUUGCGCGAUUGAAUUAGCCGAUGUCGGAUUAGCUAGUUGGCGGGGUAAAGGCCCACCAAGGCGACGAUCCGUAGCUGGUCUGAGAGGAUGAUAAGCCACACUGGAACUGAGACAGGGUCCAGACUACUACGGGAGGCAGCAGUGGGGAAUAUUGGACAAUGGGCGCAAGCCUGAUCCAGCCAUACCGCGUGGGUGAAGAAGGCCUUCGGGUUGUAAAGCCCUUUUGUUGGGAAAGAAAAGCAGCAGGUUAAUACCCCGCUGUUCUGACGGUACCCAAAGAAUAAGCACCGGCUAACUUCGUG
RNAcentral lists this ribosomal RNA (492 nucleotides) under uncultured bacterium. RNAcentral describes it as "partial 16S ribosomal RNA". It matches the Rfam family "Bacterial small subunit ribosomal RNA", at positions 29 to 507 of the family's 1533-position model. The record is from RNAcentral.